This 779-nucleotide ribosomal RNA is filed under the name Chitinophaga sp. TOB3-1_Pa. Its description in RNAcentral is "bacterial SSU rRNA". It matches the Rfam family "Bacterial small subunit ribosomal RNA", at positions 60 to 834 of the family's 1533-position model. Lineage: Bacteria; Pseudomonadati; Bacteroidota; Chitinophagia; Chitinophagales; Chitinophagaceae. The record is from RNAcentral.
AGUCGAGGGGCAGCACAGGUAGCAAUACUGGGUGGCGACCGGCAAACGGGUGCGGAACACGUACGCAACCUUCCUUCAAGCGGGGAAUAGCCCAGAGAAAUUUGGAUUAAUACCCCAUAAGAAUGUGGACUGGCAUCAGUCAGCAUUUAAAGAUUUAUCACUUGAAGAUGGGCGUGCGUCUGAUUAGGUAGUUGGUGAGGUAACGGCUCACCAAGCCGACGAUCAGUAACUGGCGUGAGAGCGCGACCAGUCACACGGGCACUGAGACACGGGCCCGACUCCUACGGGAGGCAGCAGUAAGGAAUAUUGGUCAAUGGACGGAAGUCUGAACCAGCCAUGCCGCGUGGAGGAUGAAGGCCCUCUGGGUUGUAAACUUCUUUUAUUUGGGACGAAACACUUCUUUUCUAAGGAGCUUGACGGUACCAGAUGAAUAAGCACCGGCUAACUCCGUGCCAGCAGCCGCGGUAAUACGGAGGGUGCAAGCGUUAUCCGGAUUCACUGGGUUUAAAGGGUGCGUAGGCGGACAUGUAAGUCCGUGGUGAAAUCUCUAAGCUUAACUUGAAAACUGCCAUGGAUACUAUAUGUCUUGAAUGUUGUGGAGGUUAGCGGAAUAUGUCAUGUAGCGGUGAAAUGCAUAGAUAUGACAUAGAACACCAAUUGCGAAGGCAGCUGGCUACACAAAUAUUGACGCUGAGGCACGAAAGCGUGGGGAUCAAACAGGAUUAGAUACCCUGGUAGUCCACGCCCUAAACGAUGAUUACUCGACAUACGCGAUACAC